AGUGAACGCUGGCGGUAGGCCUAACACAUGCAAGUCGAACGGCAGCACAGUAAGAGCUUGCUCUUACGGGUGGCGAGUGGCGGACGGGUGAGGAAUACAUCGGAAUCUACUUUUUCGUGGGGGAUAACGUAGGGAAACUUACGCUAAUACCGCAUACGACCUACGGGUGAAAGCAUGGGAUCUUCGGACCUUGCGCGAUUGAAUGAGCCGAUGUCGGAUUAGCUAGUUGGCGGGGUAAAGGCCCACCAAGGCGGCGAUCCGUAGCUGGUCUGAGAGGAUGAUCAGCCACACUGGAACUGAGACACGGUCCAGACUCCUACGGGAGGCAGCAGUGGGGAAUAUUGGACAAUGGGCGCAAGCCUGAUCCAGCCAUACCGCGUGGGUGAAGAAGGCCUUCGGGUUGUAAAGCCCUUUUGUUGGGAAAGAAAAGCAGCAGGUUAAUACCCCGCUGUUCUGACGGUACCCAAAGAAUAAGCACCGGCUAACUUCGUG
RNAcentral lists this ribosomal RNA (492 nucleotides) under uncultured bacterium. Its description in RNAcentral is "partial 16S ribosomal RNA". It matches the Rfam family "Bacterial small subunit ribosomal RNA", at positions 29 to 507 of the family's 1533-position model. The record is from RNAcentral.